RNAcentral lists this transfer RNA (77 nucleotides) under Candidatus Omnitrophota bacterium. RNAcentral describes it as "tRNA-Ile". It matches the Rfam family "tRNA". Rfam says of the family: Transfer RNA (tRNA) molecules are approximately 80 nucleotides in length. Their secondary structure includes four short double-helical elements and three loops (D, anti-codon, and T loops). Further hydrogen bonds mediate the characteristic L-shaped molecular structure. tRNAs have two regions of fundamental functional importance: the anti-codon, which is responsible for specific mRNA codon recognition, and the 3' end, to which the tRNAs corresponding amino acid is attached (by aminoacyl-tRNA synthetases). tRNAs cope with the degeneracy of the genetic code in two manners: having more than one tRNA (with a specific anti-codon) for a particular amino acid; and 'wobble' base-pairing, i.e. permitting non-standard base-pairing at the 3rd anti-codon position. Lineage: Bacteria; Pseudomonadati; Candidatus Omnitrophota. The record is from RNAcentral.
GGGCCCAUAGCUCAGUCGGUUAGAGCAGGAGACUCAUAAUCUCUUGGCCCAAGGUUCGAGUCCUUGUGGGCCCACCA